GAAAGGAUUGGGAGGAAGAAUGAAAAGAUACCUUUCCUUUAGACAUUUCUAAGCUUGCAAAUGCACAGGCAAUGAGAACCACCUCUCUUCACUCCCUGGCAUUUGAGGCUUUUUACGUAAAAAUUUAAACUAAUGAUUAUAUUAGAAAUUUUUAAAUGUUUAAAAAAAGUAUGUUGUAAAAUUGAGGAAAUAUAGUAUUUUGAGAGUCCAAACACGUUCAUGCAGUUGAUUGAGCCUAAGUGUUGGGUUAAUCCUAGUAAGUGAUUGAUCUUUUUAGGUAGGUAAGGGAAUAAACAGAAGAUCAGAAAAGAAGAGGUACUACUAUUACAUUUUAAGUUUCCAAAUAUACUACUAAGUGUCUCUAGUAAAACUUAACUCAUUGAAGAAGAAAAUAGUCUGACUCUAAAAAAAGAGUGUGUGUUCCUGAGAAAGACUAAACCAGUUAUUUUCUCCUUUCAUGUUUGAAUGAAUAACCAUCAGCAAGGGAGAGAUGCACUGACCUUCUGCCAGGAAUCCUAGAGUUCCUUGGAGAGGAUAUGAAGGUUAUUCUCAGGCCAUGCAGAUGGGCAAGAAAGGAUGUGCGUCCAUGGUUCCUCUUCAAAUCCAACCAAAACAGCCUUGCUUCCGUUGGCUUUAUAUAAUACUGCAACUCUUGAUAAUCUGAUUUAACACAAAUUUCCUCAUUGAGUUUCUCCUCAUGAAGAAACGGCCUCAGUGAGGUAAAUCGGAAUGCACAGGAGCACAUAGCAGGUUAGUGCAGACCAGAAAUCAAACCCA
This 777-nucleotide long non-coding RNA is filed under the name Homo sapiens (human). Its description in RNAcentral is "wound and keratinocyte migration associated lncRNA 2". The record is from RNAcentral. Lineage: Eukaryota; Metazoa; Chordata; Mammalia; Primates; Hominidae.